This 89-nucleotide transfer RNA is filed under the name bacterium. RNAcentral describes it as "tRNA-Ser". It matches the Rfam family "tRNA". From Rfam's summary of the family: Transfer RNA (tRNA) molecules are approximately 80 nucleotides in length. Their secondary structure includes four short double-helical elements and three loops (D, anti-codon, and T loops). The record is from RNAcentral.
GGAGAGAUGCAGGAGUGGUUUAACUGGCUCGCCUGGAAAGCGUGUGUGCGGCUAACCCCGUGCCGUGAGUUCGAAUCUCACUCUCUCCG